GGUCUGAUGGUCUAGUGGUAGGAUUCUCGCUUUGGGUUCAUUCGACAUGAGUUCAAAUUGCGAGAGGUCCCGGGUUCGAUCCCCGGUCAGACCC
Non-coding RNA from Daldinia grandis, 94 nucleotides. The record is from the annotation of a GenBank genome assembly. Lineage: Eukaryota; Fungi; Ascomycota; Sordariomycetes; Xylariales; Hypoxylaceae.